GCAUGCGAGACAAAGUCACCAUUUCUGUCUCUCUCUCUCUACUCUCAUCUACGAAGCAUAUGCUCCUUCUCUCUAAAAAUUUGUCUGUCCGAUCGCUUUAUCUACACAUAUUUUAGUGUUAAAUGCGUUGAUUCUUUCUGAAAUCCUUGAUUUUUGAAUGUAUCUGUUGAAUCUGCCAGUUCGAUCGCUAGGUUACUACAUGUCUUAAUUUUUUUUUGUUUUUCAGGGUAUGAGUUCGCUGGAAAUGUAAAUCAAGCGAGAUCGGAGUUUGUCUUCAACUCAAGAGUGGAGAUUCUGUACAGGUCGUUCUACUACGAGUGUUUAGGUUUUUGAAGAAAAAAAAACAGUUUGGUGUUUUUUGAACCUGAAAAUUGGCUAGAUGAUGAAAUUUUGACGGAUUUUGUUUUACAGAAUAUGGGUAAAUAUCAACAAAGAAUCUCUGGGUUUUUGAUGUAUGGACUGUGCUAGCAAUUGCUUACAUCUCUGAUUUCAGAGCCGUAAACUGCGAUCUGGAACAUGCAUGACCAGAUCUUUAGGAUCUAGAACCAAGAACUAGACAUGAACAGGUCUACAUAUACAGAAGAUUUUUUUUUCUUUUUUUCGAGCUCAUGCUUAGGAUUUUUGAAAUACAACCAUGACUUUGACAUAUAUACUGUAUGUAAAAUUGCCUGCAAAAAUCUUUUAUGCAUCUAUAUAUCAUGUAUGAUAGCUUUUCAGACUGGUAUCACAUCAAAUAGUAGAAUUGUAUUUCAACCUCUUUGUUCAUAUGUUUUUCUCACACAUAGAACUAUUGUUGUAUUUUUCUUUGUGGUAAAUCAUUCUUUAAUGUGUAUUCAUACUAAUUUUGUAGGAUUAGUUGUAGGAAUACAUAAUUAAAAGCAACUUUUAAGUUUCAUUUAUAAAAUCUUAUCGCAUUGAAAGUUUUUUUUGGUCAUCUUUAAUGUUGUAGACCAUGUUUUUUUUUGAAUAAAUUUCUCAGCACGCUAAGAGCAUCCACUAUAGUGGUUAUUAUAGAGUUAUUGUCAAAUGAAUUAUCUUGGGUGGGGUUAAUAACAAAUAUGGGGUGGAGUUAUUUUGGAAAAGAUUUGUCCUGCAAAUAUAUGAAGAUAAUGUCAGAAAAAAAGAAAAAAGAAAAAAAAAAAGUUAACACUGGCUGUGCGCAAAGGCUACAUGGGCGCGUGCACUGUGCUAACAGCGCGCCUGACACUACAGUUUUUAUUAUUAUUUUUUUUCAAUUUCAAUUUUUGUUAUUUUUUUUCUUUUUUCUUUUUCUCUCCCCUCCCACAUUUUAUUUCCUAAUCACUCUUAUAUUCUAACACCUCGGCAUUUUUACCAUGUAUUUUUGAACAAAUUUCCCUUUCCAUCCAAUGCACCUCAGCAUCCACUCCCUAAUGUUUGACACAUAUCAGAUCUCAGCCUUCUCUCACAGCUCUCUUCCAUCGCGAACUCCUCCAUCAGAUCGUGAGGUUCCAUUCGUCAAUCUCCUCCAUCUCUCGCCCGACGCUGCGGACUGCCGCGACCUGCUCUAGACGCCUCCAUUCCGUCUCGACCUUCCCACGACCGCCACUGCUAGCCUCCACCACCACUAAUCUGGGCAGCUUCGCUUUCUUUUCGCUCAAAAUAUACGAUUGACGAGGAAAUGGAGACGGAGACCGGUAAGAGUAAACAUUGACGACAAGAAGACGGAGACCGGCAAGAGUAACGACGACAUUGACGGAAUGCUACAUUGCAACACAUGAGCAAGUGGGUACCUAGAAAUAAAGCUGAGCUGCUAGAGAUCAAUGACAUUGGCAAGUUUCAUUCUUUGACAGAAUUUGAUGAGGGAAAAUGGUGCUCCAGAAAACGUUUGGAUGGUCACAACAAGCGACGAAGGAUGCCUCAGCCAGACAAUCUCAACAAAAGUUCAGGAAUGCUUUUCCUACUUUUGUCAUUAGGAUGGGAUACUUAGGCAUUUUUGAGAGGUUAUGUAAUCUUUCCGUUGAAUGAGUAUGCACUAUUAUCUACUGUUUUAGCUUUAAGGAUUAUUGAGAAGGAAUAUUAGUUUUGGAGGUUUUUAUGUGAAUUUAGUUUUAUAAAAUUUGCUUUAUAUGUA
Ipomoea nil (Japanese morning glory) is the source of this 2092-nucleotide long non-coding RNA. RefSeq lists it as uncharacterized. Lineage: Eukaryota; Viridiplantae; Streptophyta; Magnoliopsida; Solanales; Convolvulaceae. The transcript is spliced from 7 exons. The record is from RefSeq and is a predicted model, not a curated record.